RNAcentral lists this long non-coding RNA (542 nucleotides) under Callithrix jacchus (white-tufted-ear marmoset). RNAcentral's name for it is "lncRNA (ENSCJAG00000061418.2)". Lineage: Eukaryota; Metazoa; Chordata; Mammalia; Primates; Cebidae. The record is from RNAcentral.
CUCCUGUGUUGAAAAUAAUGCAAAUAUAAAAUUCAUAGCAUAGGGAAUUGUUAAAAAAAAUGCUGACAAUUUAACAGAAUGGGAGAAAAAGCUUAUAAAAGAAACAAAAACAAAACAAAUCUAAAAAGAAAAUUCUGCAUAUGAAAAUGUGAAUUACAGGGACAGAUUACGGGCAAUUGCAGAAUUGGUCCAUAAGAGCUAGCUGACUUUUACAGUCAUGAACAGUAUAUUGAAGUCUUGUAUCAUAGUGAAGAGCUGCUUUUUUAUCUUUUAGGACACUGCUUUACUUGGAGGAUGCAUUCAGAUUCAUUUUCUGUGUGGCACUAUUCAUUUUGGAAUUCUUAUUUGAUUCCAUAUACACUGACGAGUGAGGAAGAUGGCGCUGUAGGACCAACUCAGGAUUGCAGCUCCCAGUGAAAUCGCAGAGGGGACAAAGAUAGCAGAAGAAGAAUCUGGUAGCAACCCUCAUGGUUCUGCAGCUGCUACAGGAGUUCCCCAGGCAAGCAGGGCCUGGAGUGGACCUCAGCAGUCCAACAGCAGAG